AGGAAACCAGUUUACCUGCACUGCUUCCUUUUCCUUCCUGAAAAAAGAACCUGGCCAGCCUCAUGGUGGAGGCCCUAUCCUUCCAGUUUGGAUCAAGUAAAUGACCAAUAGUCAUCAGCAGCUCCAGUUGUGGCAAAGAAAUAGGUCGUCAAACCUUAACAGCCGAACAGCUGAAAUUACAGAUGGUCCUUCCUCUGGGUUGGGUCGUAGUGGCAGUGGGUAGUCCAGACUGCCCGUCUCUCCAGCAAUGCUUUCCAGUUCCUCCUGGGGGACCCCAAGGCAUUCCAUGGCCAGAUGAGAUGUGCAGUCUCUGCUGUGUAUUCUGAGCCCUCCCUACCAGUUGGACAUGCUUUAUAACCCUGCGAUAGAAGGUACUAAGGAAGCAUCACGAUCAGAUGCCCGACCCACCUAAACUGACUCCUUUUGACAAGGACAACCAGGGGCUCUUCUAGUGACUAAUGCUGAACUAUCCUAAAGAAGUUUUACCUGAAAAUAUCCUACUUAUUCUGUUUAUUUUAUCCUAGAAUAAGUUGCAGCUUUAAUACCAGUUCAAGCCGGCCUGAUUCUGUGUGUAUCAGUGUAUACCCAUAAUCUCCUUACUGAGUGGCCUCUGGGAUGUGUUCAAAUGUUUGCCAGCUUGAUAUCUUCAGCAGAGGGCAGAGGUUGAAGAAAAUGGCUCUUAACUCCAUGAUGUCUUUACAUAACACCAUAAAGCCGGUCUCAUGUGAAUAGAAGACUUUGCAGGGCGAAUUCGGCUGGCUGGAGGAUUAGAAAAGCAGUUUUCUCUGCCUCUUCGUUUCCAUCUUCCUCCUUUUUCCUCCCUCUUUUAUUCCUCUCCAGGAGAUUUCCUCUCCUCAUGCUUAUUCUGUCAGUUAUCCUCCUCCUCUUUCAUCCCUUGUUCUAUCCUGUGUUUCUUUCUCUAUCUGUAGGCUUUCGUAUGUAAAAACCCAAAUUGCUGGAUUAGGCCAAAGUCACCUUGCCCCCACACUUCAGCUCCCAGACAAAGGACGCAUGCAAACACACAAAGACACACAUGCACAGUCUUCUAUCUAAUCUCAGGACUCUCUGUAACACCUACAUCUCUCCCUGAACCACACACACUUGUAGAGACUGAAGGAGGCUGAGUGAGUUCAAUAUGACCCUGAUGGAGGGAAGGGAAAUUACAAAGCUUUGGGAAAAAAGAGCAAAGAAGAUUUCAUGGUGUGCUCAUUUCUCAAACUGUAGGUGAAGGCAUUUCUGCAGAUAUCUUUCUUUUGGGGACAGGUGGAGAUAAACCUGGGCAGGGUGAUGUAAUAAUAAAGCAGAUAGGAUUUAUAAAGAGGUGGGGAGGGAUUUCACAAUGUCAGUGACACAUUGGUGUGAUGUCUAUAUGCCAGUGAGGCAAUUUCACCAACUGUUGUUUGUUUUCAUUAGAUAUUUUUCUUUUAGAGCUCCAGGCAUAUCUCUGGUUGGGGCAGUCUUUUCAACCGACUCUGUGAAGAGUUUCAGGGUUUUUUAUGGCUCACAGAUUUCACCCAGAGUAGGCAAACUACCAUUAACAGCAGGCAGACAUACUGAAAAUGUGUGCAUAUUAAAUGUAUAUCAACCAGGUGACCAGAGACAUGACUCUGGACAGAAAAAGCAGAGAGAUGUCCAAGGUUGUCCUGGUUUCUUUGCUGUGUUUGAUAUGUUGGAGGAAAGAGUGAGAUAACUUUGGUGUUGUCCUUGAAGGUGCUAUAUGUGAGUUUUUGCUUUCACUACAUAGCCAACAUUAGCAUUAGCAGCUGUUUACUUACCAGUCUAGAGGUGUGUCAAGCAUCAAACUGUUAACUCUUGAUUUGCUUGGAUUUCUAGCACUUUUCUUCUGUUGAAGUUAGCACGCUAACCAGCUAGCCCAGGUCACCCAUCCCAUCUCAUAAUAUCAUUUUGUAAUAGUGAGUCACUGUAGCGUCCAGUCUGCACUAGAGGACAUAUUCCAACCUCUUGUCUUGUAAAUGCAAUGAUAGCUGAAUCUCUUGGUAUGUAAACAGCUGUUAAUACUAACAUUGGCUAUGUAGCCAUAGCAAAAAUUGUACCAAUAGCACCUUCAAUAACACUUUGUUUUAAUUGAGUUAAGGAGACUGACCCAAAUGGUGGAUGCAGCUAGUCUGCAAAAAUUAAUUUUAGGAGGUGAGGAAAAAAGAGGAGACAAAGUGAAAUAGUUGUGUUUGAGUGAAUAGAUUCUAUUUAGUUGUGUUCUCUUUUAUUCUGGUUUCCACCUCAACACAAAAUCAUCCACCGUCCUCUUUUCACCUGAGUUGUUAAACAGAUUAGCGGCCCAUCCCGAAAACGCCACCGCACCAAUCCCAUCAGCCCCGACUUCCUGUGCCUGCCGCACUUUUCAUCCCGUCUGUCUGUGCCUGGACUCUGCUCAGUGUUUGAUAACAGUGCUAAAAAAGAUGAGGUGGAGAGGAAGGGGGGGGAGUAUUUUCAUCAGAUGAAUGCUGUUUCAAUUUUUCAUUUCCACAGGGAGAGAGGACACACACACCGAUGAAGUAUGGAGUUAUGGCAUGGAGAUUGAGUGUGUGGAAAGAGAGAGAAGGGAAGGAAAAGAGAGACUGAGAUAUUAAAUGAAGUCAAACAGACGGAUACGAAAACACAGAAAGAGGCAAAUUAAGUUCAACUAAAAAUUCUUGGAGGCAGAAAUAAUCUCAUUGGCUGUGUUACCCAAGUGGCUGCUGAGAGCUAAAGCCUCAAAGAGCAAUUUUUAGGGUUGGCAGCUUCAGUGAAUAAUGUGGGAAUGCAACAUUAAAAAAAGACUUCUUAGAGAAUAUAUUUUUUAACAGUUAUACUUUCUGUGUAAGGCAGUUAGCCAUGUUUAAAGCACACAAGCUUUCUGCAGCACUGGGGCUGUUGUGUGACCAGAGAAGGUCACUGGUGGUUUGAAAAUGCAUUCAUUCACACUCAUUUAUUGAAAAUAAAAAUAAACCAUGUCUCUCUU
This is a long non-coding RNA of Lates calcarifer (barramundi perch), 2959 nucleotides long. RefSeq lists it as uncharacterized. The transcript has 3 exons. NCBI's taxonomy places the organism in Eukaryota, Metazoa, Chordata, Actinopteri, Centropomidae. The record is from RefSeq and is a predicted model, not a curated record.